Molecule: ribosomal RNA, 468 nt
Filed under: uncultured bacterium
Lineage: Bacteria
Description: partial 16S ribosomal RNA
Rfam family: Bacterial small subunit ribosomal RNA
Source: RNAcentral
GACGAACGCUGGCGGCGUGCUUGACACAUGCAAGUCGAACGGAAAGGCCCUGCUUUUGUGGGGUGCUCGAGUGGCGAACGGGUGAGUAACACGUGAGUAACCUGCCCUUGACUUUGGGGUAACUUCAGGAAACUGGGGCUAAUACCGGAUAGGAGCUCCUGCUGCAUGGUGGGGGUUGGAAAGUUUCGGCGGUUGGGGAUGGACUCGCGGCUUAUCAGCUUGUUGGUGGGGUGGUGGCUUACCAAGGCUUUGACGGGUAGCCGGCCUGGGAGGGUGACCGGCCCCAUUGGGACUGAGAUACGGCCCAGACUCCUACGGGAGGCAGCAGUGGGAAAUAUUGCACAAUGGGCGGAAGCCUUAUGCAGCAACGCCGCGUGCGGGAUGACUGCCUUCGGGUUGUAAACCGCUUUCGCCUGUGACGAAGCGUGAGUGACGGUAAUGGGUAAAGAAGCACCGGCUAACUACGUG